CCCGGCCCAACGCGUGCCGCCUUUUUGCAACCCAUGAUUGUAGCCAAGUAUCCCUCGCCGUCUCCGGCGAUCAGCGCUACCUAGCGAGCGGUGCACGGAAGAAUCAACGGGAUAUCAUCAUCGUCCCGUCCCCGGCGUGAAGGACCUGGCUAUGAGGAAUAUCUAUCACCGUCUCCGGUUGGAAUAAGGAAUAUCUAUCACCGCCGGCGAUGAGAUUUUCAGAAAGGACUUGAAAUGGUGCCCUAUGUUUGCCAAGCUAAAAACUGUGUUGCUCAAUGACUAGUGUGUGGCUGCUAACUUCACUGGAGAAGUUUAGUUUCUUCAGCACUCGCCAAUUAUAGAGAGGCUAACCCUUCAUCUUUGUGAUGGCUUGGAUUCUGAGAUUAAAUCAAGUGAAAGCUACAACCCAAUGGAAUAUUUCUCGGUGUCGAAGCAUCUCAAGGAAGUAGAAAUCUAUUGUUGCAAGGAAGAUGAAAGGAUUUCUCAAAUUUUGGAGAUCCUUCGUACUCAUGGAGUAACUCCCGCACAAAUUAACAUCGAACGUGGUUUUAGGUCUUCUUCCUGUAAGUAUGUUUUACUACAAUGCACUAUUGUUUGUGUAGUCUGCUUGCGUCAGUAAAAAAAAGAAAUUUAGACAGGCAAACUUUGAAAUAUGUUUUAUUUUUUAAAACUAGACAUUGAAAUAUUUGGUAAUUUAUAAAUGAAAAAGCGGGAAUUAUAUUAUUAAAUGAAGAAUGUCUAUUAAAAUUUCUACAAUUCUUCAAUAAAGGCCAAUAUAUUAAUAUCAGGUACACCCAACAUCUGCAACAAUAUCCUGUCUACAUAUUUUACUAAAAAUGCGAUCUGGCCAAAGUGGGUGAAAAAUGUAAAACAACCAAAUAAACAGUGUGAGGUAUUAUUCACUAUUUAGUUCCUUUGAGGGGCUAGGCGUAUGGUUCAUUUAAGAGCUCAUUCUUCCAGUAUCUGCAUAGUGAGAUCAAGUUGUAUGUCGGUCUAAUCUUCCAAAACAAUUUCUUCUGCACUUUUUGCUGCACUUCAAUGCCGCUGGCUAUUCGAUCGUACCUUCUCAUGUUUUAAUCUGCACUUUGAUGUAUUCAUUGUGUCUUCUAUAUGAUUACACAUGCUUCAGUUUCGAGCAGAGGAAGUAGAUCAGAUGGUCUAUUGUUCCUGGUUAUUCCAACUUCCAUGUCCCUGAAUUAAUCUUGGCAGCAUGGGGUUGCGAUGUUUUGUCAUUUUCGAUCUUGUGCCUGCCACCGUUCCAUUCAUAUGAAAGAUGAACUGCUGUCGAUAUGCAAUUUCAGUAGGUUCAGAUGUCGCUCUAGUUGUGUUGCACUUCUGCGAUUCCCUGAACUCAGUGUCAGGCCACAGCUACUAUACCUUUUAAAGGCCUAUGAUCAAUUUAUGUUUCUGCAACCUGAAUUAUGUGACUUAUGUAAUAUAGUACCUGCUUUGUUAUAUCGACCAUAU
This is a long non-coding RNA of Triticum aestivum (bread wheat), 1467 nucleotides long. RefSeq lists it as uncharacterized. The record is from RefSeq and is a predicted model, not a curated record. The transcript is spliced from 3 exons. Lineage: Eukaryota; Viridiplantae; Streptophyta; Magnoliopsida; Poales; Poaceae.